RNAcentral lists this ribosomal RNA (227 nucleotides) under uncultured bacterium. RNAcentral describes it as "partial 16S ribosomal RNA". It matches the Rfam family "Bacterial small subunit ribosomal RNA", at positions 107 to 334 of the family's 1533-position model. The record is from RNAcentral.
UGAGUAACACGUAUCCAACCUGCCGUCUACUCUUGGACAGCCUUCUGAAAGGAAGAUUAAUACAAGAUGGCAUCAUGAGUUCACAUGUUCACAUGAUUAAAGGUAUUCCGGUAGACGAUGGGGAUGCGUUCCAUUAGAUAGUAGGCGGGGUAACGGCCCACCUAGUCUUCGAUGGAUAGGGGUUCUGAGAGGAAGGUCCCCCACAUUGGAACUGAGACACGGCCCAA